This 460-nucleotide ribosomal RNA is filed under the name uncultured bacterium. Its description in RNAcentral is "partial 16S ribosomal RNA". It matches the Rfam family "Bacterial small subunit ribosomal RNA", at positions 338 to 795 of the family's 1533-position model. The record is from RNAcentral.
CCUACGGGUGGCAGCAGUGAGGAAUAUUGGUCAAUGGGCGAGAGCCUGAACCAGCCAAGUCGCGUGAAGGAUGACGGCCCUACGGGUUGUAAACUUCUUUUGUCAGGGAGCAAUUGGGUCCACGCGUGGGCUUAGAGAGAGUUACUGACGAAGAAGCAUCGGCUAAAUCCGUGCCAGCAGAAUCGGUAAUACGGAGGAUGCGAGCGGUAUCAGGAUUUAUUGGGUUUAAAGGGUGCGUAGGCGGAAUAUCAAGUCAGCGGUAAAAAUUCGGGGCUCAACCCCGUCGUGCCGUUGAAACUGAUGUUCUUGAGUGGGCGAGAAGUAUGCGGAAUGCGUGGUGUAGCGGUGAAAUGCAUAGAUAUCACGCAGUACUCCGAUUGCGAAGGCAGCAUACCGGCGCCCAACUGACGCUGAAGCACGAAAGCGUGGGUAGCGAACAGGAUUAGAUACCCCAGUAGUC